AGGGUUCGAUUCUGGCUCAGGAUGAACGCUAGCUACAGGCUUAACACAUGCAAGUCGAGGGGCAGCAUGGAGUUUGCUUGCAAACUCUGAUGGCGACCGGCGCACGGGUGAGUAACGCGUAUCCAACCUUCCCUAUAGUAGAGGAUAGCCCGGCGAAAGUCGGAUUAAUACUCUAUGUUUUCCGUUGCAGACAUCUAAGAUGGAACAAAGGCUUGCCGCUAUAGGAUGGGGAUGCGUCUGAUUAGGUAGUCGGCGGGGUAACGGCCCACCGAGCCAUCGAUCAGUAGGGGUUCUGAGAGGAAGGUCCCCCACAUUGGAACUGAGACACGGUCCAAACUCCUACGGGAGGCAGCAGUGAGGAAUAUUGGUCAAUGGACGAGAGUCUGAACCAGCCAAGUAAGCGUGCAGGACGACGGCCCUAUGGGUUGUAAACUGCUUUUAUGCGGGGAUAAAGUUCACUACGUGUAGUGUUUUGUAGGUACCGCAUGAAUAAGGACCGGCUAAUUCCGUGCCAGCCGCCGC
This 522-nucleotide ribosomal RNA is filed under the name uncultured bacterium. RNAcentral's name for it is "bacterial SSU rRNA". It matches the Rfam family "Bacterial small subunit ribosomal RNA", at positions 8 to 518 of the family's 1533-position model. The record is from RNAcentral.